AACGAACGCUGGCGGCAUGCCUAACACAUGCAAGUCGAACGAGACCUUCGGGUCUAGUGGCGCACGGGUGCGUAACGCGUGGGAACCUGCCCUUAGGUUCGGAAUAACUCCCCGAAAGGGGUGCUAAUACCGGAUAAUGUCUUCGGACCAAAGAUUUAUUGCCGUGGGAUGGGCCCGCGUUGGAUUAGCUAGUUGGUAGGGUAAAAGCCUACCAAGGCGACGAUCCAUAGCUGGUCUGAGAGGAGGAUCAGCAACACUGGGACUGAGACACGGCCCAGACUCCUACGGGAGGCAGCAGUGGGGAAUAUUGGACAAUGGGCGAAAGCCUGAUCCAGCAAUGCCGCGUGAGUGAUGAAGGCCUUAGGGUUGUAAAGCUCUUUUACCCGGGAUGAUAAUGACAGUACCGGGAGAAUAAGCCCCGGCUAACUACGUG
This 433-nucleotide ribosomal RNA is filed under the name uncultured bacterium. Its description in RNAcentral is "partial 16S ribosomal RNA". It matches the Rfam family "Bacterial small subunit ribosomal RNA", at positions 29 to 507 of the family's 1533-position model. The record is from RNAcentral.